This 696-nucleotide ribosomal RNA is filed under the name uncultured bacterium. RNAcentral's name for it is "bacterial SSU rRNA". It matches the Rfam family "Bacterial small subunit ribosomal RNA", at positions 136 to 851 of the family's 1533-position model. The record is from RNAcentral.
CAGGGGGAUAACACUUAGAAAUAGGUGCUAAUACCGCAUAACAACAGAAAGCGCAUGCUUUUUGUUGAAAACCAAGGUGGUAUGGGAUGGACCCGCGUCUGAUUAGCUGGUUGGCGGGGUAAAGGCCCACCAAGGCGACGAUCAGUAGCCGGCCUGAGAGGGUGGACGGCCACAUUGGGACUGAGACACGGCCCAAACUCCUACGGGAGGCAGUAGUGGGGAAUAUUGCACAAUGGGGGAAACCCUGAUGCAGCGACGCCGCGUGAGUGAAGAAGUAAUUCGUUAUGUAAAGCUCUAUCAGCAGGGAAGAAAAUGACGGUACCUGAGUAAGAAGCCCCGGCUAACUACGUGCCAGCAGCCGCGGUAAUACGUAGGGGGCAAGCGUUAUCCGGAUUUACUGGGUGUAAAGGGAGCGUAGACGGCAGUGCAAGUCUGGAGUGAAAGGCGGGGGCUCAACCCCCGGACUGCUCUGGAAACUGUACGGCUGGAGUGCAGGAGAGGUAAGUGGAAUUCCUAGUGUAGCGGUGAAAUGCGUAGAUAUUAGGAGGAACACCAGUGGCGAAGGCGGCUUACUGGACUGUAACUGACGUUGAGGCUCGAAAGCGUGGGGAGCAAACAGGAUUAGAUACCCUGGUAGUCCACGCCGUAAACGAUGAUAACGAGGUGUCGGGGGUUAAAGAACCUUCGGUGCCGCAG